GAUGAACGCUGGCGGCGUGCCUAAUACAUGCAAGUCGAGCGAACGGACGAGAAGCUUGCUUCUCUGAUGUUAGCGGCGGACGGGUGAGUAACACGUGGAUAACCUACCUAUAAGACUGGGAUAACUUCGGGAAACCGUAGCUAAUACCGGAUAAUAUUUUGAACCGCAUGGUUCAAAAGUGAAAGACGGUCUUGCUGUCACUUAUAGAUGGAUCCGCGCUUCAUUAGCUAGUUGGUAAGGUAACGGCUUACCAAGGCAACGAUGCAUAGCCGACGUGAGAGCGGGAUGGGCGACAGUGAAAGUGACAGGCGGUCCAGACUCCUACGGGCGGCAGAGGUAGGGACGGGACGGAGCUGGGCGGAAGACUGCAGGAGGAGCGCCGGGCGGGUGAUGCAGGUCCGCGGGUCGUAAAACGCUGUUCGUGGUGAAGACCAUAUGUGCCAGUAACUGUGCGUGUGUGGCGGGAACGUAAUCAGAAGGACCCGGCUACUACGGU
RNAcentral lists this ribosomal RNA (496 nucleotides) under uncultured bacterium. Its description in RNAcentral is "partial 16S ribosomal RNA". It matches the Rfam family "Bacterial small subunit ribosomal RNA", at positions 28 to 506 of the family's 1533-position model. The record is from RNAcentral.